Molecule: non-coding RNA, 188 nt
Filed under: Sodalis glossinidius str. 'morsitans'
Lineage: Bacteria; Pseudomonadati; Pseudomonadota; Gammaproteobacteria; Enterobacterales; Bruguierivoracaceae
Description: GcvB RNA
Rfam family: GcvB RNA
About the family: The gcvB gene encodes a small untranslated RNA involved in expression of the dipeptide and oligopeptide transport systems in Escherichia coli. Included several unknown homologues in alignment (Bateman A pers obs).
Source: Rfam by way of RNAcentral
CAUUCAUAAGCCGGAACGAAAAGAACUUAGGAAGAUAAUGAUUUCAAAGCGCUUUUGGCGAGUGAUGUGAUGUUGUGUUUGCAGAUUGGGCCGCCAUUGCGGACCCCCUUUUUCUUAAAUCCGUUUUGGAUAUAUUUUUCUGUCUGUCCAUAGAGAAAAGUAGCACCGCGCCUGCGGUGCUUUUUUUG